GACGAACGCUGGCGGCGUGCUUAACACAUGCAAGUCGAACGGAAAGGCCCUGCUUUUGUGGGGUGCUCGAGUGGCGAACGGGUGAGUAACACGUGAGUAACCUGCCCUUGACUUUGGGAUAACUUCAGGAAACUGGGGCUAAUACCGGAUAGGAUCUCCUGCUGCAUGGUGGGGGUUGGAAAGUUUCGGCGGUUGGGGAUGGACUCGCGGCUUAUCAGCUUGUUGGUGGGGUAGUGGCUUACCAAGGCUUUGACGGGUAGCCGGCCUGAGCGGGUGACCGGCCACAUUGGGACUGAGAGACGGCACAGACUGCUAAGGGAGGCAGAAGUGGGGAAUAUUGAAGAAUGGGCGGAAGCCUGAUGCAGCAACGCCGCGUGCGGGAUGACGGCCUUCGGGUUGUAAACCGAUUUCGCAUGUGACGAAGCGUGAGUGACGGUAAUGGGUAAAGAAGCACAGGCUAAAUACGUG
Molecule: ribosomal RNA, 468 nt
Filed under: uncultured bacterium
Lineage: Bacteria
Description: partial 16S ribosomal RNA
Rfam family: Bacterial small subunit ribosomal RNA
Source: RNAcentral